CAUAGGUAUCUGCCUAGUAGUGGGGGACAACCUGGUGAAAACCAGGCUAAUACCGCAUGAGAACUACGGUUGAAAGGUGGCCUCUCCUUGGAAGCUAUCGCUAUUAGAUGAGCCUAUGUCAGAUUAGCUAGUUGGUAGGGUAAUGGCCUACCAAGGCGACGAUCUGUAGCUGGUCUGAGAGGACGAUCAGCCACACUGGGACUGAGACACGGCCCAG
Molecule: ribosomal RNA, 217 nt
Filed under: uncultured bacterium
Lineage: Bacteria
Description: partial 16S ribosomal RNA
Rfam family: Bacterial small subunit ribosomal RNA
Source: RNAcentral